This 402-nucleotide ribosomal RNA is filed under the name uncultured prokaryote. Its description in RNAcentral is "bacterial SSU rRNA". It matches the Rfam family "Bacterial small subunit ribosomal RNA", at positions 355 to 774 of the family's 1533-position model. The record is from RNAcentral.
UGGGGAAUAUUGCACAAUGGACGAAAGUCUGAUGCAGCAACGCCGCGUGGAGGAUGACACAUUUAGGUGCGUAAACUCCUUUUAUAUAGGAAGAUAAUGACGGUACUAUAUGAAUAAGCACCGGCUAACUCCGAGACAGCAGCCGCGGUAAUACGGAGGGUGCAAGCGUUACUCGGAAUCACUGGGCGUAAAGAGAGUGUAGGCGGAUGUAUAAGUCAGAAGUGAAAUCCAAUAGCUUAACUAUUGAACUGCUUUUGAAACUGUAUAUCUAGAAUGUGGGAGAGGUAGAUGGAAUUUCUGGUGUAGGGGUAAAAUCCGUAGAGAUCAGAAGGAAUACCGAUUGCGAAGGCGAUCUACUGGAACAUUAUUGACGCUGAGACGCGAAAGCGUGGGGAGCAAACA